Molecule: ribosomal RNA, 253 nt
Filed under: uncultured bacterium
Lineage: Bacteria
Description: partial 16S ribosomal RNA
Rfam family: Bacterial small subunit ribosomal RNA
Source: RNAcentral
UACGUAGGGCGCAAGCGUUAUCCGGAAUUAUUGGGCGUAAAGAGCUCGUAGGCGGUUUGUCGCGUCUGCCGUGAAAGUCCGGGGCUUAACUCCGGAUCUGCGGUGGGUACGGGCAGACUAGAGUGCAGUAGGGGAGACUGGAAUUCCUGGUGUAGCGGUGAAAUGCGCAGAUAUCAGGAGGAACACCGAUGGCGAAGGCAGGUCUCUGGGCUGUAACUGACGCUGAGGAGCGAAAGCGUGGGGAGCGAACAGG